This 291-nucleotide ribosomal RNA is filed under the name uncultured prokaryote. RNAcentral's name for it is "partial 16S ribosomal RNA". It matches the Rfam family "Bacterial small subunit ribosomal RNA", at positions 505 to 796 of the family's 1533-position model. The record is from RNAcentral.
GUGCCAGCCGCCGCGGUAAUACGUAGGUCCCGAGCGUUGUCCGGAUUUAUUGGGCGUAAAGCGAGCGCAGGCGGUUUGAUAAGUCUGAAGUUAAAGGCUGUGGCUCAACCAUAGUUCGCUUUGGAAACUGUCAAACUUGAGUGCAGAAGGGGAGAGUGGAAUUCCAUGUGUAGCGGUGAAAUGCGUAGAUAUAUGGAGGAACACCGGUGGCGAAAGCGGCUCUCUGGUCUGUAACUGACGCUGAGGCUCGAAAGCGUGGGGAGCGAGCAGGAUUAGAAACCCCGGUAGUCC